CCUACGGGUGGCAGCAGUCGAGAAUCAUUCACAAUGGGGGAAACCCUGAUGGUGCGACGCCGCGUGGGGGAUUACAGGUCUUCGGAUUGUAAACCCCUGUCAUGUGGGCGCGAAUUAACAAGAUAGUACCUCAAGAUGAAGAGACGGCUAACUCUGUGCCAGCAGCCGCGGUAAUACAGAGGUCUCAAGCGUUGUUCGGAAUCACUGGGCGUAAAGCGUGCGUAGGCUGUUUCGUAAGUCGGGUGUGAAAGGCGCGGGCUCAACCCGCGGACGGCACAUGAUACUGCGAGACUAGAGUAAGGGAGGGGGAAGCGGAAUUCCAGGUGUAGCAGUGAAAUGCGUAGAUAUGGAGAGGAACACUCGUGGCGAAGGCGGGUUCCUGGACAGUAACUGACGCUGAGGCACGAAGGCCAGGGGAGCGAAAGGGAUUAGAUACCCCAGUAGUC
Molecule: ribosomal RNA, 446 nt
Filed under: uncultured bacterium
Lineage: Bacteria
Description: partial 16S ribosomal RNA
Rfam family: Bacterial small subunit ribosomal RNA
Source: RNAcentral